ACGGGGACCCGCACAAGCGGUGGAUGAUGUGGAUUAAUUCGAUGCAACGCGAAAACCUUACCUACCCUUGACAUGUCCGGAAUCCUGCAGAGAUGCGGGAGUGCCCGAAAGGGAAUCGGAACACAGGUGCUGCAUGGCUGUCGUCAGCUCGUGUCGUGAGAUGUUGGGUUAAGUCCCGCAACGAGCGCAACCCUUAUCAUUAGUUGCUACGCAAGGGCACUCUAAUGAGACUGCCGGUGACAAACCGGAGGAAGGUGGGGAUGACGUCAAGUCCUCAUGGCCCUUAUGGGUAGGGCUUCACACGUCAUACAAUGGUCGGUACAGAGGGUUGCCAAGCCGCGAGGCGGAGCCAAUCCCACAAAGCCGAUCGUAGUCCGGAUUGUUCUCUGCAACUCGAGAGCAUGAAGUCGGAAUCGCUAGUAAUCGCAGGUCAGCAUACUGCGGUGAAUACGUUCCCGGGUCUU
This 464-nucleotide ribosomal RNA is filed under the name uncultured Thiobacillus sp. RNAcentral describes it as "bacterial SSU rRNA". It matches the Rfam family "Bacterial small subunit ribosomal RNA", at positions 913 to 1382 of the family's 1533-position model. Lineage: Bacteria; Pseudomonadati; Pseudomonadota; Betaproteobacteria; Nitrosomonadales; Thiobacillaceae. The record is from RNAcentral.